RNAcentral lists this ribosomal RNA (253 nucleotides) under uncultured bacterium. Its description in RNAcentral is "partial 16S ribosomal RNA". It matches the Rfam family "Bacterial small subunit ribosomal RNA", at positions 524 to 776 of the family's 1533-position model. The record is from RNAcentral.
UACGUAGGGGGCAAGCGUUAUCCGGAAUUACUGGGUGUAAAGGGUGAGUAGGCAGCAUGGUAAGCCAGAUGUGAAAGCCUUGGGCUUAACCCGAGGAUUGCAUUUGGAACUAUCAAGCUAGAGUACAGGAGAGGAAAGCGGAAUUCCUAGUGUAGCGGUGAAAUGCGUAGAUAUUAGGAAGAACACCAGUGGCGAAGGCGGCUUUCUGGACUGAAACUGACGCUGAGGCACGAAAGCGUGGGGAGCGAACAGG